Long non-coding RNA from Lathyrus oleraceus (garden pea), 2731 nucleotides. RefSeq lists it as uncharacterized. Lineage: Eukaryota; Viridiplantae; Streptophyta; Magnoliopsida; Fabales; Fabaceae. The transcript has 3 exons. The record is from RefSeq and is a predicted model, not a curated record.
CUAAAAUAACUGCUCCUUUUAGACUUGAGUUUAAAACGGUUCAUUCUCCAAAGAAAGAAAGAGUAAAUUGCAUUUUCCAAAACACAGUAAAUUGUAGCUCUCUUAUCAUCACGGAUAAAUGCAUAUCACGACUUUCAUUCUCAUCAUCAGUCAUGAACAGAUUACAUAAUCGGAUCCUAUUGGAUAUGGAUAUUAGGACAGAAUAUUGGCAUCAACUUGUUUACUGAUGACAUGUGAUGAAAAGAGAGGGCAUUUGGUCUAGUGGUAUGAUUCUCGCUUUGGGUGCGAGAGGUCCCGAGUUCGAUUCUCGGAAUGCCCCUUUUCUUUUAUAAUUGUUUUGAAGAUAUGGAAAGUUUCCAUUGCUAAUAUGAGAUAGGAUUAGGAAUUAGAAGACCAUACACGGAUGAGUGAAAAUGAUAGACAAGGAAGGAUUCCUAACAAGAUAAAAAUGAGAUAGGAUUAGAGGUUUUAGCAUUAAAGGGAGAGUUGGGAUAGCAAACUAGCACAUAUUGUAGAUAAUAUGGUUAAAUAUCGAGUUAAGUGGUUUGAACAUGUGUGGAGGAAAUCUAUAAAUUCCAUAGAAAGGAGAAUAUAUGAUAUGCUUUGUGGCACAAUUGCUAGAUGUAGAGAAAUGCCAUGUAAAACUACAAACAAAACUAUUGAGAAAUGCACAAAGGACCAUAUUUUGGCUAUAUAUAUGAUUUAUUUUAUAAGUUAUAAUAACAUUAUGACGACUUUUGUUUCAUCUAUCCAACUUCACCUAAUAGAAGCUUAUUGUUGUUGUAUAAUAAUGUGAAAAUGUUAGGUGGAUUAGCCAUUUUCUUUUUAGUUUCAACAGUUCCCCGUGUAUGAUGUAACGGAAAUUUGAAAUUGGCAAUACAAUUCUCACAUAGUAAAAUGUGUAUGCUACCCAUGCAAUGAUGACAAGUAGUAAAAAUUCAGUUUGCCUAGAAUAAUUGCCUGAACUGUCAAAUUUCCACAUUCACAAUCAAAACUUUUCAUAUUUGGGCAUUUGGUCUAGUGGUAUGAUUCUCGCUUAGGGUGCGAGAGGUCCCGAGUUCAAUUCUCGGAAUGCCCCUUUUUUUAAGGAUUGAAGUCCAUGCGGAUGCUGCACCGGAUGAGUAAUGAUGGGAUGCAUGGAUAGUGUAUUGGUGUUGGCUGAAAAACAAUUUUGUUAUAGAAAACUAUUGUGAGUCAUAGUUUAUAAUGUUAGUAUAUCAAGUUUUGGGUUAAUACGUGGUGUCUCUCUCACUUGUGUGGUUGCUCCUAGAAAAAAGUCCGAUUUACCCAUCAUUUAAAACUUUAUCUUAAAAGAUAAAUCCUAAAUUGAAACCUAAGUGGUAACUGGUAAAUAAGUAAGUAGACUGUCUGUGAUACCUUUGGUUGGUAAACCAAAUUAUCCUCUGCGCACAACAACAUAGACUAAUAUCUCAAGUUAGCUGAGAUUCAUUUAAGGAGAUGAUCCCUUAUAUCAAAUUUAUUUCUAUACACAUCGAUUAGAGAUCGAAUCUCCGACUAAAUGAUUAUAUGAAUCAAGUAUCUACCAUUAAUGUCAUACCAUGGUGGUUGGUAACUCUCUUUGGUAUCUCACCUAAAAAAACAGGUUAGCUUUAGAGAUCAGUAGCUUCUUCACUCAGUGAUCUCAAUAUCAUGAGAAGACACAGGACCAGCUUGUAUUUAGCAACUGUUUUCUGCUGGCAACUUUGAGAUGUUGAAGAACAACUGACAAUUGUGUAUCCAAAUAAGUAGACUUGACCAUUCACAAAUUAAAAAAUUUCAUAUCAGGGCAUUUAGUCUAGUGGUAUGAUUCUCGCUUUGUGUGCAAGAGGUCCCGAGUUUGAUUUUCAAAAUGCCCCUUUUGGAAGGUUAGGAGUUUUACUAUUCAAUAUUUAGUUAAAUAUAAAUAAGCUCAGUGUUUUGAUCAUAGAAGACUGUUGUGAGUCAUAGUUUAUCAAACUUUAUCUUUAAAGAUAAAUCCAAAAUUAAAACCUUAAUCAUCAUAAAUAUUAUAUAACUAAAAAAAAGUCAACUUUGUGUUACUUGGUUUAUGAUAGUUCAAGAAAAACUGUCUCCACUUUAUAUCUAUGAUAGUUUAAGAAAAACAGUCUCCACUUUAUAUCUAUGAUAGUUUAUACAGCCCCAGGCACUUUGUGCAACGGUCGUGGCUAUAGACUCUCUUUGACACACUGAUUAAGAUUAUUUAAGAAGUUAAUUUUUUCUAGUAAUUUUUCUAAACACACUGAUUAAGAAUCUAAUCCCGAACCAAUGCCACACUAUGUUGGCGACUCCUUUUGAUACCUUAUCUUGAAAAACAUGUUAGUGUUAGGUGGAUUGGUAACUUCCUCAGGUUGUCUCAUUAUCAUGAGAAGACACAGAACCACAGCAUCUUGUUAGCAGCUGGUUGCUGUUGGCACCAAGACACGAUAAAUCAUUUGUGGUUAUAAAAUGGUAAUUAUAAGUUUAGAUUUGAUUUGUGCUAUGUUAAAUUUCAAUUCCAUUUUUGUUACUCUGUUACAACUUUGGAUUUCAUCAGCUUUUGGUCAAUUUUGGGGUUUCAAGUAGGCUUUUGGAAAUGGUUCAGUGGCGUUAUGGGUAAUGCUCUUUACCCUGUUUAGUAAAGGGAACUGCAAAUACAUAUUGUUUCGCAAAGGUUGACGGCGGCCUAGUUUUUAUAAAAACAAGUUCCCUCUUAAAAGAACAGUUAACAUGGAUGUGGAGUUAUUUAGUUUCU